UCAAGGCAGCGUUCCGCGCCAUGGGGCCUUGGCAGCGUUUGCUGCUUUUGGGGGGGCCGUCGCUUUGGGGCUACAGCGGGGCCUGUGUCCCGCUUGGGGGAAGCCGAGUGUUGGUUUGCGGGCGCCAGUUCUCUGGCGCUGAAAGUGAGACCCUAAAACAAAGAAGAACACAAAUCAUGUCUCGAGGACUUCCAAAGCAGAAACCAAUAGAAGGUGUUAAACAAGUUAUAGUUGUGGCUUCUGGAAAGGGUGGAGUUGGAAAGUCUACUACAGCAGUGAACCUUGCACUUGCUUUAUCAGCGAAUGAUUCGUCAAAGGCCAUUGGUUUGUUAGAUGUGGAUGUGUAUGGCCCAUCAAUUCCAAAGAUGAUGAAUCUGAAAGGAAAUCCAGAAUUAUCACAGAGCAACUUAAUGCGGCCUCUUUUGAAUUAUGGUAUUGCUUGUAUGUCCAUGGGCUUCCUGGUUGAAGAGACUGAACCCAUUGUUUGGAGAGGCCUUAUGGUAAUGUCAGCCAUUGAGAAACUGUUGAGGCAGGUAGAUUGGGGUCAACUGGACUAUUUAGUUGUUGACAUGCCACCAGGAACUGGAGAUGUGCAGUUGUCAGUCUCACAGAAUAUUCCCAUUUCAGGUGCUGUGAUUGUCUCCACGCCCCAGGACAUUGCAUUGAUGGAUGCACACAAGGGAGCUGAGAUGUUUCGAAAAGUCCAUGUGCCUGUUCUGGGCCUUGUCCAAAAUAUGAGUGUUUUCCAGUGUCCAAAAUGUAAACACAAAACUCAUAUUUUUGGUGCUGAUGGUGCAAGAAGACUAGCACGGACCCUUAAUCUUGAUAUUCUAGGAGACAUUCCCUUACAUCUUAAUAUAAGGGAAGCUUCAGAUACAGGCCAGCCGAUUGUAUUUUCACAGCCUGAAAGUGAUGAGAAGUUGGUCACAGCCCUCUCAACAGAUCCUGCCGUGUUUAGUGCCCAUUCUACCUGCAUGUCUUCCUUUAAAGAAUGAAGCAAGUGUUUAAUUGCCAACGUGAUAAACUUCUACAAAAGUUAAUGGGAUGAUUGCAGCAUUAUUUACAAUAGCCAGGACAUGGAAGCAACCUAAAUGCCCAUCAACAAAUGAAUGGAUAAAGAAGAUGUGGCAUAUAUAUACAAUGGAAUAUUACUCAGCUAUAAAAAGGAACGAGAUGGAGCUAUAUGUCAUGAGGUGGAUAGACCUAGAGUCUGUCAUACAGAGUGAAGCCAAAGCCUACCUAAGGAUUGCUGCUGAAGUGGUAAGAAGAUUGCCACCACCUCCAGAGUGACUCCCCAGGUGUCUUGGAAAUUUGCCUGACAGUAAGACCUUUGGAAAUCAGCAGUGUGAAACCUACAGAAAUAAUAGCAGUCAUAGUUGUUUUCUUGUAUUUCUAAAGAAAUAAUGUCUUAACUUCAGAUCUGAUUUGUUGAACCAUGACUUACAAAUAAAAUUGUUACAUGCCAAUGCUUACUGCUACAUUUAGGAAUUUUUUUGAAAGCUAUUGUGUACCAAGGUCACAGAACUGCAUUUUAUUUUAUGGAACUACCCUUUAAGGAAUCAUGAGUUUAUAUUACAAGCCCAACCUUCAAUUCAGGAGAGAACUGUGCUCUUUUUGCAGGACUGCAGAGUUAAAGGAUUUACUGAGUGUGAGUAUGGACAUAAGUAUGACACCUCUCCAUUGGGCAGUUUGAUCUGGGUUUGAAUCCUGCUUCUAGUACUAUCUUGGACACAUUAUUAAUAGAGAUGAACCUCUACUUCUUUAUCUGGCCUAGAUUCUCCUCUAGACUUAACGAAUCUGAAUCUGCAGGGGUAGGGUCUGGACGUGCAUAUUUUUAACAAGAUCAUAAUGAUGUUGAUGAUUCUGAUUAUGAUGGCAAUAAUAAUAAUAAUAAUAAUUAACAUUUAUCAAGUGUUUUCUUGUGUCCUUAUAGUUAAUCUUGCAUUCGUAUGAGUGGAGUACUCUUGUUAUCUCUGCUUUACAGAUGCGGAAACUGAGAUAUGGGAAAGUUAAGUGUCUUCCUGAAGGGUUACUGUUCUAGCAAGUGAAGGUUUGAACUUGGGCAUUUGUUUCCUGGAUCCUUCCCUUUGUACACCAAAGGGCAUUUGUUUAUUUCAAAAGAGGAAUAUGAUUAUAGUAUUCAGAACUUAUAGUAUUCCUCAAACUUAUUUGACCAUGAACUCCCCCCAAACUCCCCUUUAGGAGCAUUUCAUGGAGUUCUUAUUUCGAAGAAUACACCUUGAAAAACAUCUUGUCUGGUUGAAGCUCAGAGAGAGUCCAGGGCUUCCCAAGGUUAUAAAGCUGUGAGCGCUGAUGAGUCAUUAGUUAAUCCUCACUUAUAAGAAGGUGGUCUGUGACUUUUGACAAAUGCCUGAGUUCCUUUGCUCUGUAGUUAAGCAGCCAGAAAAUUAGAUAAAGAGUUACACGUCAUUAUAAACAUGUUUUUGCACACUUAUGUUCACCAAAAAAACUGUGCAUGGCUGCUUAUAGCACCUUUAUUUGUAAUAGCCAAAACAACCCAGAGUUUUUCAGUGAGUGAAUGGUUAGAAAAACUGUGGUAUAUCCAUACCAUGGAAUACUACUCAGCAAUAAGAAAAGAACAAACUGUGGAUACAUGCAACAACCUGGAUAUAUUCCGGAGAAUUAUGCUGAAUGAAAAAGCUAAUCCCAAAAGGUUUUGUAUCAUAUAAUUCAACUUAUAAAACAAUCUUGAAAUGACAAAAUUAUAGACAUGGUGAACAGAUUACUGGUUUCCAGGGGUUAAGGGAAGGGAUUUGCGAUGGGGAAGGCAAUUGUAUUUGUGGCUAUACAAGGGCAACAUCAGAGAUCCUUUUGAGGAUGGAAGUGUUCUGUAUCAUGACUAUCGAUGUCGUAACUUGGUUGUGAAAUUGUGCAGUAGCUUUAUAGGAUGUUACCAUUGGAGAAAAUUGGGUAAAGGGUACAAUGGAAUCUCUCUCUAUUAUUUCUUACAGCUGCAUGUGAAUCUGCAAUUAUCUCAAAAUAAAAAUAAAAGUAUAAUUUAAAAAAGCAAACUUGUGCUGCUGUGUCCGAACUGAAAUCUCCUGGACCAAAUUAUCCAUGCUAAUUAAAAUCAUGAAUAAAAGUAUUUAUGGACACCUGGUAAUCGUCAUUCAUCACUCUGAAAUGACUUAAGUUGUAGAUAUGUAUUUGUAUUUUAUUGUCUUUUUGGAAGCAGGCCAAUAUAGAUAAUCAUUGAGUAUUUCUAAAUACCAAAAAGCAAGUAAUUGAACCAAGCUUAACUUUACCUGGAAAAAGAAUAAUUUAAAUAAGCUCCAGAGGUGCUUAAAGUUGUGUACCAUAAUUUAAUACAUCUCAUGGAGAAAUGGGAAAGAUAGACUUCACUCAUAAAUAUAUGACUUAGAGAAGAUUCACAUAUAUAAUCACCUGCUCCAUUCUCCCUCACCUGGUAUUCUCUGCAGAUGCUUCCGGGAAAGCCACUGGGAAAAAAAUUUUGAUUGGAGUUUGUACCCAGGUUCAAAAGUGGAGCGAGGGAAAGUAGCUUUAAAAGCAAGAAUUAAGCUUAUUCUAAAAUUUUGCCCCUGGGUAGCCUUUGCUAUGCUUCAGAGAGCUGACUUCAAAUAGACUGUGAAGCAUGGCUCGUCUGCCUGUUGCUGGCAUAAUGUUUAUUCCUCAUUCUUCACAUUUCCGUAGAGUGUAGAGAAUUUCCAUUCCCCUGUCCAGGAGAGAAAGGCAAGCUCCCCCACUCACUCCAUCCUGGGGAAACAGGAGUGACUGAUGGGCACAUUUCUUUCUACCUGUGCUUCUGUGAUUUCAGCCAAAUGCUGAGCUUUCUGAGGUAGGCUACAGGGAAGCCUGAAGUUGUCCAUCUCUGCCUUGGAGUUGGGUGAGCAUGUCCGUCUAAUUUAGAGGUAGGGUAUUUGGUAACCCAUUGUGGUCACAUGUCCUCUAAUCCAGCUUUUUGUCAGUAAUAAAGCUAAUUUUUUUAAAACCUUUAUCUGAAUUCUAUGUCUCUCAUUUCUAAACAGGGGAAGAAUCCCCCAACCAGAUUCCAAGGAAACACACAAUACCUUUCUAGAAUCCUAUAAAGUUAGAACUGAAGAAUAUAUUUCAGAUAAGUCCACCACUCUAUUUGAAGUAAAAAUUAAGUUCAUUAAUGGCUGGAGAUUUUUUGGGGAGGUGGGGGGGAGUGAAGAGAGGUUUUUGUGGAGUGUACUACAUAUACAGUAAAUCACAGAAGACAUAAAUACACAGAUCAGUUAAUUAUGUACAAAGUGAACACCCAUGUAACUACUAACCAGGUUAGGAAGUAGACCACAGCUAGUAUCCCCAAAGCCCCAGUGUUUUCCUUCACAAUCACUAUCCUCUUCUUCCCUUACAAAGUUAACAACAAACUGAUGUUUUAGCACCUGAGUCUGUGCCCUUAAGCAUUAUAGUUUUGCCUAUGUUUUUGAAAUUUUUAUUAAAUGGAACUGUACAGUAUUUUGCUCUAUACUGACUUGUUCUGUAUUAUAUUUCUGAGAUGCAUGUCUACUGUUGCAUAUAGCUGUAAUUUGUUCAUAUUUGUUGCUGUAGAGAAUCCCACUGUUUGAAUAAACAAC
Molecule: RNA transcript, 4580 nt
Organism: Hippopotamus amphibius kiboko
Lineage: Eukaryota; Metazoa; Chordata; Mammalia; Artiodactyla; Hippopotamidae
Gene: NUBPL
Gene name: NUBP iron-sulfur cluster assembly factor, mitochondrial
Exons: 12
Source: RefSeq, a predicted model, not a curated record